RNAcentral lists this unclassified non-coding RNA (205 nucleotides) under Hevea brasiliensis (rubber tree). Lineage: Eukaryota; Viridiplantae; Streptophyta; Magnoliopsida; Malpighiales; Euphorbiaceae. The record is from RNAcentral.
CAUAUGGAAGAUCAAAUGGGUUAGUUGAUAUAUGAUUGAUUGUGUAUGGUUGAGGCACUUCCAUCUUGGGAUUCUCUGAAGGAGUAUAUGUUGGCUCCAGGACAUUGUCCAAUGGUCCAUUCAGACCAGAGAGUCCUUCAUACAGAGCAGCUCCUUGAAUCCCAUAUUUACUAGGGUCCUCUGAAGCCUUCAAUCCCAAAUACUG